UCAACAACAGGUCAAACAGAACAGAGCUCCACGUGCAGAUCAACAACAGGUCAAACAGAAGUCCACGUGCAGAUCAACAACAGUUCAAACAGAAUUCCACGUGCAGAUCAACAACAGGUCAAACAGAACUCCAUGUGCAGAUCAACAACAGG
Molecule: long non-coding RNA, 152 nt
Organism: Xenopus laevis (African clawed frog)
Lineage: Eukaryota; Metazoa; Chordata; Amphibia; Anura; Pipidae
Exons: 2
Source: RefSeq, a predicted model, not a curated record